Molecule: ribosomal RNA, 434 nt
Filed under: uncultured Oscillospiraceae bacterium
Lineage: Bacteria; Bacillati; Bacillota; Clostridia; Eubacteriales; Oscillospiraceae
Description: bacterial SSU rRNA
Rfam family: Bacterial small subunit ribosomal RNA
Source: RNAcentral
ACGGGAGGCAGCAGUGGGGGAUAUUGCACAAUGGGGGAAACCCUGAUGCAGCAACGCCGCGUGAAGGAUGAAGGUUUUCGGAUUGUAAACUUCUGUUCUUAGUGACGAUAAUGACGGUAGCUAAGAAGAAAGCUCCGGCUAACUACGUGCCAGCAGCCGCGGUAAUACGUAGGGAGCGAGCGUUGUCCGGAUUUACUGGGUGUAAAGGGUGCGUAGGCGGCAGAGCAAGUCAGGCGUGAAAGCCAUGGGCUUAACCCAUGAACUGCGCUUGAAACUGUUCUGCUUGAGUGAAGUAGAGGCAGGCGGAAUUCCCGGUGUAGCGGUGAAAUGCGUAGAGAUCGGGAGGAACACCAGUGGCGAAGGCGGCCUGCUGGGCUUUAACUGACGCUGAGGCACGAAAGCAUGGGUAGCAAACAGGAUUAGAUACCCUGGUA